GAUGAACGCUGGCGGCGUGCUUAACACAUGCAAGUCGAACGAAGCAUUUGCGACAGAUUUUUUCGGAAGGAAGUUGCUUAUGACUGAGUGGCGGACGGGUGAGUAACGCGUGGGUAACCUGCCUUGUACUGGGGGAUAGCAGCUGGAAACGGCUGGUAAUACCGCAUAGGCGCACAAUGUUGCAUGACAUGGUGUGAAAAGCUCCGGUGGUAUAAGAUGGACCCGCGUCUGAUUAGCUAGUUGGUGAGAUAACAGCCCACCAAGGCGACGAUCAGUAGCCGACCUGAGAGGGUGACCGGCCACAUUGGGACUGAGACACGGCCCAGACUCCUACGGGAGGCAGCAGUGGGGAAUAUUGCACAAUGGAGGAAACUCUGAUGCAGCGACGCCGCGUGAGUGAAGAAGUAAUUCGUUAUGUAAAGCUCUAUCAGCAGGGAAGAUAGUGACGGUACCUGACUAAGAAGCUCCGGCUAAAUACGUG
Molecule: ribosomal RNA, 481 nt
Filed under: uncultured bacterium
Lineage: Bacteria
Description: partial 16S ribosomal RNA
Rfam family: Bacterial small subunit ribosomal RNA
Source: RNAcentral